This is an RNA transcript of Raphanus sativus (radish), 2989 nucleotides long. It is a transcript of the gene named nitrate regulatory gene2 protein, with no coding region annotated. NCBI's taxonomy places the organism in Eukaryota, Viridiplantae, Streptophyta, Magnoliopsida, Brassicales, Brassicaceae. The record is from RefSeq and is a predicted model, not a curated record. The transcript has 4 exons.
GUCCAAAAUCCGAUCAAGUGGAAAAAGAAACAGCUAAGAAGAACUUUCUCUCCCCCAAACAUUUAUUUUCCCUGAUUCUCUCUCUCUCUCUCUGUCCAAAAUGGCAUACCACAUGUCGUGACUCCACGCGCCGCCCCGUUUCAUAAGAAUCCAAAGCCCAACAAACAAAAACAACCAUGGGCUGCGCAGCGUCGAAGCUCGACAACGAAGACACCGUCCGCCGCUGCAAAGAUCGCCGCCGUCUGAUGACGGAAUCAGUCCGCGCGCGUCACCAGCUCGCCGCGGCUCACGCCGAUUACUGCAGAUCGCUACGUAUCACCGGAUCCGCUCUCUCCUCUUUCGCCGCCGGCGAGCCACUCGCCGUAUCGGACCAGACUCCCGCCGUGUUUCUCCACACUCCGAGCGAACACUCCUCCAGUUACGUACCUCCACGUGUCCCUCCGUCUCCUUCCGUCUACACUCCGAGCGAACACUCUUCCUCCAGUUACAUACCUCCACGUGUCCCUCCCUCUCCUUCCGUGGCUAGCUCCAAAAAGCUGCCUCCGAUCGUAACGGCUCCCUCUAAUCGGAGACGAAGCAUCAGCAGCAACAGCAGCAGCAGAAACCGAAGCUGCCUCAUAUACUGUCGAGUCCUUCGUCAAGCGAGAGAUCUAAUUUCAUGCCGAGUAGUUUCUACCCAACGGCUUACCAGAACUCGACUUACUCCGCUACUCCCUCUCAAGCCUCCUCGGUCUGGAACUGGGAGAACUUCUACCCUCCUUCCCCUCCCGAUUCCGACUUUUUUAACCGUAAAUCUCAAGAGAGGCAACAACAACAUAACCGGUUUAGCGAUCAACAAGACUUACAUCAUAACCGGUUUAGCGAUCAACAAGACUUACAUCAUAACCGGUUUAGCGAUACGGAGACUGAGAGAUCUGAGCAUGAUUUCUUCGAUUCGACGAGGAAGGAGAAGAAGUUUGAUAGGGAGACGGAGAGAUCAGCAGGAGCACACUCGAGGAAGCAGAAUAAGCAGUUUCAGAUCUUGGAGGAGGAAGCUGAGAGAGAGGAAGUGCAGUGUAGCGAAUGGGAGGAUCACGAUCAUUACAGUACCACUAGCUCAUCUGAAGCCACCGCCCAUGAGGAGGAGGAGGAGGAUGAGGAGGAGGAGGAUAUAGAGUCAAUCUCACAAGUCGGGACGCGUUCUGACUUUGGAUCUUCAGUGAAGACUAGUUCGAUGAGACGGCAGCACGCACCAAUGGCGCAGGAGUAUAGCGUUGGAGGACAAGAGAAGUAUGGCAAAGCAGACGACGCGGCAACGAGUUACAGUGGCAGCAGAGGAGGAGAUAAUGUCUCUGACAUGAAGAUGGUGGUGAGACACAGAGAUUUGAAGGAGAUUGUCUAUGCCAUCAAGGAGAAUUUCGACAAGGCCGCUGAGGCCGGAGAACAAGUCUCUCAGAUGCUUAAUCUUGGCAAGGCUCAGCUCGACCGCAGUUUCAGCCACUUGAAGAAAACGGUGAUUCAUUCGAGUAGCGUAUUGAGCAACCUGAGCUCAACCUGGACCUCUAAGCCGCCAUUGGAAGUCAAGUACAGGCUUGACACAACUUCACUUGAACAACCGGGAGGUCCCAAGAGUCUUUGUUCAAGUCUUGACCGACUCUUGGCAUGGGAAAAGAAACUCUAUGAGGAAGUCAAGGCUAGAGAAGGGUUUAAGAUUGAACACCAAAAGAAGUUGUCAAAACUUCAAAGUCAAGAGUACAAGGGAGAUAGUGAGACUAAGCUGGACAAGACUAAGGGGUCUAUAACUAGGUUACAGUCUCUUAUUAUCGUUACUUCCCAGGCCGUCACCACUACAUCUACUGCCAUUGUCCGCCUUCGAGAUACUGAUCUUGUCCCGCAGCUCGUUGAACUCUGUCACGGUUUCAUGUACAUGUGGAAAGCAAUGCAUCAGUUCCACGAGAUUCAGAACAACAUCGUACAGCAAGUUCAGGGGCUCAUUAACAGGUCAGGCAAAGGGGAAUCAACAUCUGAACUACACCGACAAGCAACACGUGACUUGGAAACAGCCGUGUCUCUAUGGCACUCCAGUUUCUGUCGGCUGAUUAAAUUCCAAAGGGAGUUCAUACGUUCGGUUCAAGCCUGGUUCAAGCUGACUCUCCUCCCAGUUUGCCACGACAACAACCCCGGUCACAAAGAGCCAGUAGAUGCCUACGCGUUUUGCGAUGAGUGGAAGCUCACUCUAGACCGAGUCCCGGACACAGUGGCUUCAGAAGCAAUCAAGAGCUUCAUCAACGUUGUUCACGUGAUAUCCGCGAAACAAUCAGAGGAGCUAAAGAUAAAGAAACGAACAGAAUCAGCAUCAAAGGAGCUUGAGAAGAAAGCUUCGUCGCUUAGGAACAUCGAAAGGAAAUACUACCAGUCAUACUCCACGGUCGGGUUUGGUCUCCCUGAUUCAGGACCAGACAACGGACACGUGCUAGACGCUCGAGACCCGCUCACGGAGAAAAAGUUAGAGCUAGGAGCAUGUCAGAGAAGAGUGGAGGAAGAGAUGCUGAAACAUUCAAAGGCAAUAGAAGUGACAAGAGCCAUGACUUUGAAUAAUUUGCAGACGGGUUUGCCAGGUGUGUUCCAAGCUUUAACCAGUUUCUCAGCUCUGUUCACGGAGUCCUUACAAACGGUAUGCACUCGCUCAUACUCCAUCAAAUAGCACCACUAUAUUAUUACUAUAUAGUUGAAGAAGAUACAAAUACUAUAUAGUUAAAAGUUUUUGAUGAGGUAAAAGGGCUCCCCAUGGUUAUGUCUCUUAUUAUUUCGGGCUGGUUGUUUGGAUAAUGUUUAUUUCUGAAGAGGAAAUGUAUAUAUUAUGGAGUCUAUAUUUAAAAGAAGUUCUAGGACUUGGCGUUUUGAUUUCUAUGUAUGAAAUGUGGAUGUUUUUGUUUGUUCAUGUAAUUCUCAGCUACAUGUUCUAAAGAAAUUCCAGGACAAGAAUAAACAACGUUCUCUUGCUUGUUCA